RNAcentral lists this long non-coding RNA (275 nucleotides) under Pelobates cultripes (western spadefoot toad). Lineage: Eukaryota; Metazoa; Chordata; Amphibia; Anura; Pelobatidae. The record is from RNAcentral.
CUGAUCCUCACUUUCCUUCACAGAGAUCCCUUCAAGAUACUCUGGCUAUGACACGUAGGCAGGUGGUCAGGCUUUAUUAUGGCCGUCAAAACACCUACUUGAUGAUCUUUGUAGACUUUUAAUUAGAAUGUCUCGAUAUCCCCUCGUCACUCCGACUGAGUUGCACGCUUCAACCGGGUCCUGCAAGGAUUCUCAGGAUCUGGAGUAGCUUGCCAAGAGUCUGCUGCUGGUUUAACCUUAGAAUGAUGAAUCCAAGGAGUCACUUCCGCCACCUU